AUCAGUCAGUACAUGUAGGCAUGUGCACAAAUACUGUUCCACCAUGUUGCUGAAAUGCUGUCCUUGUAACGGGGAUCCAGCAGGGUGCCCACCCAGUAAUCAGCACAAGUUAGAAUGUGGGCAACUCGGCAGUCGUUGCGCAGGCACUUUGGUGACUCUAGUUAACCUCGGGCUGAUCGCAAGUCCCCAUGACGGCGACGAUGCAUUCGGAUGUCUGCCCUAUCAACUUUCGAUGUUACUUUCUACGCCCACUAUUGUGACCACGGGUAAUGGGGAAUCAGGGUUCAAUUCCG
Molecule: non-coding RNA, 293 nt
Organism: Pelobates cultripes (western spadefoot toad)
Lineage: Eukaryota; Metazoa; Chordata; Amphibia; Anura; Pelobatidae
Source: the annotation of a GenBank genome assembly